Molecule: microRNA precursor, 64 nt
Filed under: Bombyx mori (domestic silkworm)
Lineage: Eukaryota; Metazoa; Arthropoda; Insecta; Lepidoptera; Bombycidae
Description: mir-2774 microRNA precursor family
Rfam family: mir-2774 microRNA precursor family
Source: Rfam by way of RNAcentral
ACAACAACCGGUCCGGUCUACCGAGCAAUAUCACCCGCUCGGUGAAAGAUCUUCCCUUUGUCGU